GCAGGUGUCGUAUAAUGGCUAUUACCUCAGCCUUCCAAGCUGAUGACGAGGGUUCGAUUCCCUCUACCUGCUCCA
This 75-nucleotide transfer RNA is filed under the name Clostridiales bacterium. Its description in RNAcentral is "tRNA-Gly". It matches the Rfam family "tRNA". Rfam says of the family: Transfer RNA (tRNA) molecules are approximately 80 nucleotides in length. Their secondary structure includes four short double-helical elements and three loops (D, anti-codon, and T loops). Lineage: Bacteria; Bacillati; Bacillota; Clostridia; Eubacteriales. The record is from RNAcentral. RNAcentral also lists the same sequence under 2 other names.